GACGAACGCUGGCGGCGUGCUUAACACAUGCAAGUCGAACGCUGAAGCUCAGCUUGCUGGGUGGAUGAGUGGCGAACGGGUGAGUAACACGUGAGUAACCUGCCCCCUUCUUUGGGAUAACGCCCGGAAACGGGUGCUAAUACUGGAUAUUCACUGAUCUUCGCAUGGGGGUUGGUGGAAAGGUUUUUUCUGGUGGGGGAUGGGCUCGCGGCCUAUCAGCUUGUUGGUGGGGUGAUGGCCUACCAAGGCUUUGACGGGUAGCCGGCCUGAGAGGGUGACCGGUCACAUUGGGACUGAGAUACGGCCCAGACUCCUACGGGAGGCAGCAGUGGGGAAUAUUGCACAAUGGGCGAAAGCCUGAUGCAGCGACGCCGCGUGAGGGAUGGAGGCCUUCGGGUUGUAAACCUCUUUCGCUCAUGGUCAAGCCGCAACAUUGGUUGUGGUGAGGGUAGUGGGUAAAGAAGCGCCGGCUAACUACGUG
RNAcentral lists this ribosomal RNA (481 nucleotides) under uncultured bacterium. Its description in RNAcentral is "partial 16S ribosomal RNA". It matches the Rfam family "Bacterial small subunit ribosomal RNA", at positions 28 to 507 of the family's 1533-position model. The record is from RNAcentral.